RNAcentral lists this ribosomal RNA (482 nucleotides) under uncultured bacterium. RNAcentral describes it as "partial 16S ribosomal RNA". It matches the Rfam family "Bacterial small subunit ribosomal RNA", at positions 30 to 507 of the family's 1533-position model. The record is from RNAcentral.
AUUGAACGCUGGCGGCAUGCUUUACACAUGCAAGUCGAACGGUAACAGGUCUUCGGAUGCUGCCGAGUGGCGAACGGGUGAGUAAUACAUCGGAACGUGCCUAGUAGUGGGGGAUAACUACUCGAAAGAGUAGCUAAUACCGCAUGAGAUCUACGGAUGAAAGCAGGGGACCUUCGGGCCUUGUGCUACUAGAGCGGCUGAUGGCAGAUUAGGUAGUUGGUGGGGUAAAGGCUUACCAAGCCUGCGAUCUGUAGCUGGUCUGAGAGGACGACCAGCCACACUGGGACUGAGACACGGCCCAGACUCCUACGGGAGGCAGCAGUGGGGAAUUUUGGACAAUGGGCGAAAGCCUGAUCCAGCAAUGCCGCGUGCAGGAUGAAGGCCCUCGGGUUGUAAACUGCUUUUGUACGGAACGAAAAGCCUGGGGCUAAUAUCCCCGGGUCAUGACGGUACCGGAAGAAUAAGCACCGGCUAACUACGUG